AAUCAACGCUGGCGGCGUGCCUCAGACAUGCAAGUCGAACGCGAAAGAGGGCUUCGGCCCUUGAGUAGAGUGGCGCACGGGUGAGUAACACGUGGGUAAUUUACCUUUGGGUGGGGAAUAACAGUCGGAAACGGCUGCUAAUACCGCAUAAUGCAGCGGCUCCACAUGGAGACAGUUGUUAAAGCGGGGGAGCGAGCAAUCGCCCUCGCGCCUGAAGAGAAGCCCGCGGCAGAUUAGCUAGUUGGUGAGGUAAUGGCUCACCAAGGCUUCGAUCUGUAGCCGGCCUGAGAGGGCGGUCGGCCACACUGACACUGAAUAACGGGUCAGACUCCUACGGUAGGCAGCAGUCGGGAAUUUUGGGCAAUGGGCGCAAGCCUGACCCAGCAACGCCGCGUGAAGGAUGAAAUCUUUCGGGAUGU
This 419-nucleotide ribosomal RNA is filed under the name uncultured bacterium. Its description in RNAcentral is "bacterial SSU rRNA". It matches the Rfam family "Bacterial small subunit ribosomal RNA", at positions 32 to 426 of the family's 1533-position model. The record is from RNAcentral.